RNAcentral lists this long non-coding RNA (1133 nucleotides) under Homo sapiens (human). RNAcentral describes it as "HSALNT0068739". Lineage: Eukaryota; Metazoa; Chordata; Mammalia; Primates; Hominidae. The record is from RNAcentral.
UUGGUCUUGCUCUGAGGCACUUACUUCCCCUGGGGGCAGUCGGCUGCGUGCUGCCCUCCUGCUGCGACUUAGGAUCUCACCCGAGGGCCAGGAGAUUGGCUUGGUCUGUGCACCAUCGACCCGAGGGCCAGAAGGUUGGCUUGGUCUGUGCACAAUUGACCCGAGGGCCAGAAGGUGGGCUUGGUCUGUGCACAAUCGACCUGAGGGCGAGAAGGUUGGCUUGGUCUGUGCACAAUCAGGACGGCCCUGAGAGCAGAGUGGCGGCAGGGCUGUCAUCCCAGUGCCUUCGGGGACUGCGCCGAGGAGCCGGGCCGCAUCCCACGUGGGGUGACUCGCACCUGCCCGUCGGGGCCAGGCUCAUGUUGGGUAUUUCAUGCGGCUCCCUGAAUUCUCAGAACAGCCUGCGAGUUGUCAUUAUCUGUCCUAUGGGAGAGCAGGCAGGAUGUAGGCCUGAGACAGGCUGGUGCCAAGGUCCGUGUCCUUUCCACAGGACUGGGGCGUUUGGAAACAUCCGUUCAAUUAACCUUCAGGUAUGGCGAGGCCCUACUGUCGCUGACAAGCUAGUUUGUUAAGGUUCUCAGUAGGACUGGUCACGCCACGCCACGCCACACCACACUAGGCCAUGCCAGGCCACACAGGGAAGUGCAGGCCAGCUGAGAGGCCGGGGGAGCAAGGGGAAAGUACGGGCAAAUCCAGGAACCUUUGCUGUGGUUUCUGCGGGAAGGAACAGCUGAGGCCAGGGAAGAGGGCUUGGGGCUGGGUGGCCUGAAUCACUUCUGUGGGCUCCUGACAUUGGCUGUGUCUUGUGGUCUGCUGCCUGGCCCUGGGGUGAUUAGGGCCGGGGUGUAGUGGGCUGGAGUGUGAGAUCCCCAAGCCCCCGAUAGUGAGGGCGGGUGUGGCUCUAGACUGCUUGGUUUUUCUGUAAGGUGUGCGCCAGGCUAGGGGUUACUAUCUCUAGGAACUGGCCAGCCCUGGGAGGGGCCGUCCCUCCAGGGUCAGCAAGGUGUCCUAAGUUAAAGCAUCAGGAAAAAAAGAUGUUAUGGGCAGCCCUCCGAGGCAGGUUGGUGCCCCAAAGAAGGAGGCAGUGGCUCAGCUGUGAGGAGCCCCUGACCUCAGAGAGGGUUCUAGAUGCA